GUGGGGAAUAUUGGACAAUGGGCGAAAGCCUGAUCCAGCCAUGCCGCGUGUGUGAAGAAGGUCUUCGGAUUGUAAAGCACUUUAAGUUGGGAGGAAGGGCAGUAAGUUAAUACCUUGCUGUUUUGACGUUACCGACAGAAUAAGCACCGGCUAACUUCGUGCCAGCAGCCGCGGUAAUACGAAGGGUGCAAGCGUUAAUCGGAAUUACUGGGCGUAAAGCGCGCGUAGGUGGUUUUGUAAGUUGGAGGUGAAAUCCCCGGGCUCAACCUGGGAACUGCCUCCAAAACUGCAUGACUAGAGUACGGUAGAGGGUAGUGGAAUUUCCUGUGUAGCGGUGAAAUGCGUAGAUAUAGGAAGGAACACCAGUGGCGAAGGCGACUACCUGGACUGAUACUGACACUGAGGUGCGAAAGCGUGGGGAGCAAACAGGAUUAGAUACCCAGGUAGUCC
This 450-nucleotide ribosomal RNA is filed under the name uncultured bacterium. Its description in RNAcentral is "partial 16S ribosomal RNA". It matches the Rfam family "Bacterial small subunit ribosomal RNA", at positions 354 to 796 of the family's 1533-position model. The record is from RNAcentral.